UACGGAGGGUGCAAGCGUUGCUCGGAAUUAUUGGGCGUAAAGGGUAGGUAGGUGGUCUCAUUUGUCUAGGGUGAAAGCCUUGAGCUUAACUCAAGAAGUGCCCUAGAAACGGUGAGACUGGAGUCCUGGAGAGGGUCGUGGAAUUCCCGGUGUAGCGGUGAAAUGCGUAGAGAUCGGGAGGAACACCAGAGGCGAAAGCGGCGACCUGGACAGGUACUGACACUCAACUACGAAAGCGUGGGGAGCAAACAGG
This 253-nucleotide ribosomal RNA is filed under the name uncultured bacterium. RNAcentral's name for it is "partial 16S ribosomal RNA". It matches the Rfam family "Bacterial small subunit ribosomal RNA", at positions 524 to 776 of the family's 1533-position model. The record is from RNAcentral.